This 73-nucleotide transfer RNA is filed under the name Pythium insidiosum. RNAcentral's name for it is "tRNA-Cys". It matches the Rfam family "tRNA". From Rfam's summary of the family: Transfer RNA (tRNA) molecules are approximately 80 nucleotides in length. The record is from RNAcentral. Lineage: Eukaryota; Oomycota; Peronosporomycetes; Pythiales; Pythiaceae.
GCGCGGUUAGCCUCAGUGGUAGAGCUUUCGAUUGCAGCUCGAAGGGUCACUGGUUCGAACCCGGUCUCGCGCU